UAUUCAUAUGCUUGUCUCAAAGGUUAACCCAUGCAUGUGUUAUUUUAAUUCAUUUUGGCAAAACUGCAAAUGGCUCAUUAUAUCAUUUAUAGUAACAUUGGUGGAUAUUUUAAAGGAUAUCUGUGGAAAUUCUAAAGCUAAUACGUGAAUAAAGCAUACGUAAGUAUGGAUACAUUUAUUAAAUAAAAAUCAAUCUAUUUUACUAAAAUAUAAACAAUUCAUAAUAAAAAAGUAAAUCGUAUGUUAUUCAAUGACAUACCAUUCAGGUUUCUAACCUAUCACCUUUGACGGUAGGGUAUUGGCCCACCGUGGCUAUGACGGGUAACGGGAAAUUAGGGUUUGGUUCCGGAGAGGGACCCUGAAAAACGGCUACCACAUCUAAGGAAGGCAGCAGGCGCGCAAAUUACCCAAUCCUAACAUAGGGAGGUAGUGACAAGAAAUAUCAUUACAAGGUUUUGAAUCUUGUAAUUGUAAUGAGUU
RNAcentral lists this ribosomal RNA (480 nucleotides) under uncultured eukaryote. RNAcentral describes it as "bacterial SSU rRNA". It matches the Rfam family "Eukaryotic small subunit ribosomal RNA", at positions 21 to 520 of the family's 1831-position model. The record is from RNAcentral.